Molecule: ribosomal RNA, 468 nt
Filed under: uncultured bacterium
Lineage: Bacteria
Description: partial 16S ribosomal RNA
Rfam family: Bacterial small subunit ribosomal RNA
Source: RNAcentral
GACGAACGCUGGCGGCGUGCUUAACACAUGCAAGUCGAACGGAAAGGCCCUGCUUUUGUGGGGUGCUCGAGUGGCGAACGGGUGAGUAACACGUGAGUAACCUGCCCUUGACUUUGGGAUAACUUCAGGAAACUGGGGCUAAUACCGGAUAGGAGCUCCUGCUGCAUGGUGGGGGUUGGAAAGUUUCGGCGGUUGGGGAUGGACUCGCGGCUUAUCAGCUUGUUGGUGGGGUAGUGGCUUACCAAGGCUUUGACGGGUAGCCGGCCUGAGAGGGUGACCGGCCACAAUGGGACUGAGGUACCGCCCAGACUCCUACGGGAGGCAGCAGUGGGGAAUAUUGCACAAUGGGCGGAAGCCUGAUGCAGCAACGCCGCGUGCGGGAUGACGGCCUUCGGGUUGUAAACCGCUUUCGCCUGUGACGAAGCGUGAGUGACGGUAAUGGGUAAAGAAGCACCGGCUAACUACGUG